This 968-nucleotide ribosomal RNA is filed under the name Rothia sp. (in: high G+C Gram-positive bacteria). RNAcentral's name for it is "bacterial SSU rRNA". It matches the Rfam family "Bacterial small subunit ribosomal RNA", at positions 582 to 1533 of the family's 1533-position model. Lineage: Bacteria; Bacillati; Actinomycetota; Actinomycetes; Micrococcales; Micrococcaceae. The record is from RNAcentral.
GUCGCGUCUGCCGUGAAAUCCUCUGGCUUAACUGGGGGCGUGCGGUGGGUACGGGCAGGCUUGAGUGCGGUAGGGGAGACUGGAACUCCUGGUGUAGCGGUGGAAUGCGCAGAUAUCAGGAAGAACACCGGUGGCGAAGGCGGGUCUCUGGGCCGUUACUGACGCUGAGGAGCGAAAGCGUGGGGAGCGAACAGGAUUAGAUACCCUGGUAGUCCACGCUGUAAACGUUGGGCACUAGGUGUGGGGGCCACCCGUGGUUUCUGCGCCGUAGCUAACGCUUUAAGUGCCCCGCCUGGGGAGUACGGCCGCAAGGCUAAAACUCAAAGGAAUUGACGGGGGCCCGCACAAGCGGCGGAGCAUGCGGAUUAAUUCGAUGCAACGCGAAGAACCUUACCAAGGCUUGACAUGUGCCGGUCGGCUCCGGAGACGGGGUUUCCUCCUUGUGGGGCCGGUUCACAGGUGGUGCAUGGUUGUCGUCAGCUCGUGUCGUGAGAUGUUGGGUUAAGUCCCGCAACGAGCGCAACCCUUGCCCUAUGUUGCCAGCACGUGAUGGUGGGGACUCGUGGGGGACUGCCGGGGUUAACUCGGAGGAAGGUGGGGAUGACGUCAAAUCAUCAUGCCCCUUAUGUCUUGGGCUUCACGCAUGCUACAAUGGCCGGUACAGAGGGUUGCGAUACUGUGAGGUGGAGCGAAUCCCUUAAAGCCGGUCUCAGUUCGGAUUGGGGUCUGCAACUCGACCCCAUGAAGGUGGAGUCGCUAGUAAUCGCAGAUCAGCAACGCUGCGGUGAAUACGUUCUCGGGCCUUGUACACACCGCCCGUCACGUCACGAAAGUUGGUAACACCCGAAGCCCAUGGCCUAACCGUUUUUGCGGGGGGAGUGGUCGAAGGUGGGAUUGGCGAUUGGGACGAAGUCGUAACAAGGUAGCCGUACCGGAAGGUGCGGCUGGAUCACCUCCUUUCUAGGGAG